CCCUUAGAUGUCCUGGGCCGCACGCGCGUUACACUGAUGCAUUCAACGAGCUUAUAACCUUGGCCGAGAGGCCUGGGCAAUCUUGUUAACGUGCACCGUGAUAGGGAUAGAUUAUUGAAAUUAUUAAUCUUGAACGAGGAAUUCCUAGUAAACGCAGAUCAUCAAUCUGCAUUGAUUACGUCCCUGCCCUUUGUACACACCGCCCGUCGCACCUACCGAUUGGAUGGUCCGGUGAAGCCUCGGGAUUGUGGUUCUUGCCGCUUUAUUGUGGCGUGACCGCGAGAACUUGUCUAAACCUUAUCAUCUAGAGGAAGGUGAAGUCGUAACA
RNAcentral lists this ribosomal RNA (328 nucleotides) under uncultured eukaryote. Its description in RNAcentral is "partial 18S ribosomal RNA". It matches the Rfam family "Eukaryotic small subunit ribosomal RNA", at positions 1470 to 1796 of the family's 1831-position model. The record is from RNAcentral.